GAUCAACGCUGGCGGCGUGCAUGAGACAUGCAAGUCGAACGGACGCUUACGGGCUUGCCUGUAAGCGUUAGUGGCGGACGGCUGAGUAACGCGUAGGUGACCUGCCCCGAAGUGGGGAAUAACUGCCCGAAAGGGUGGCUAAUACCGCAUGUGGUGGUGCGUUCGAUCGCACCAGUAAAGCCGCAAGGCGCUUCGGGAGGGGCCUGCGUCCGAUUAGCUCGUUGGUGGGGUAACGGCUCACCAAGGCGACGAUCGGUAGGUGGUCUGAGAGGACGAUCACCCAGACUGGGACUGAGACACGGCCCAGACUCCUACGGGAGGCAGCAGUCGGGAAUUUUGCGCAAUGGACGAAAGUCUGACGCAGCAACGCCGCGUGAGGGAUGACGGCCUUCGGGUUGUAAACCUCUUUUGUCAGGGACGAUGAUGACGGUACCUGACGAAUAAGCCACGGCUAACUACGUGC
This 463-nucleotide ribosomal RNA is filed under the name uncultured bacterium. RNAcentral's name for it is "bacterial SSU rRNA". It matches the Rfam family "Bacterial small subunit ribosomal RNA", at positions 28 to 508 of the family's 1533-position model. The record is from RNAcentral.